Molecule: ribosomal RNA, 1469 nt
Filed under: uncultured Bordetella sp.
Lineage: Bacteria; Pseudomonadati; Pseudomonadota; Betaproteobacteria; Burkholderiales; Alcaligenaceae
Description: partial 16S-23S ribosomal RNA intergenic spacer
Rfam family: Bacterial small subunit ribosomal RNA
Source: RNAcentral
AGUUCGAUCCUGGCUCAGAUUGAACGCUGGCGGGAUGCUACACAUGCAAGUCGAACGGCAGCACGGACUUCGGUCUGGUGGCGAGUGGCGAACGGGUGAGUAAUGUAUCGGAACGUGCCUAAUGUGAGGGAUAACUACGCGAAAGCGUAGCUAAUACCGCGCGCGCCGCCGCCAGGAAAGCGGGGACCUUCCCGGGCCUCGCACUAUUAAAACGGCCGAUAUCGGAUUAGCUGAUUGUGGGUGGGGUAACAACCACCAAGGGCGACGAUCCGUAGCUGGUUUGAGAGGACGACCAGCCACACUGGGACUGAGACACGGCCCAGACUCCUGCAGGAGGCAGCAGUGGAAAUUUUGGACAAUGGGAAACCUGAUCCAGCCAUCCCGCGUGUGCGAUGAAGGCCUUCGGGUUGUAAAGCACUUUUGGCAGGAAAGAAACGGCACCGGGAUAAUACCCCGUGCAACUGACCGACACCUGCAGAAUAAGCACCGGCUAACUACACGCCGGCAGCCGCGGUAAUACGUAAGUGCAAGCGUUAAUCGGAAUUACUGGGCGUAAAGCGUGCGCAGGCGGUUCGGAAGAAAAGAUGUGAAAUCUGACUUAACUUUGGGAACUGCAUUUUUAACUACCGAGCUAGAGUGUGUCGAGAGGUGGAAUUCCGCGUGUAGCAGUAAAUGGCAGAUAUGCGGAGAAGACACCGAUGGCGAAGGCGGCCUCCUGGGAUAACACUGACGCUCAUGCAGCAGUGGGAGCAAACAGGAUUAGAUACCCUGGUAGUCCCGCCCUGACGAUAUCAUGGCUAUUUGGGGCCUUCGGGCCUUGGUAGCGCAGCUAACGCGUGAAAUUGAAGCCUUGCAGAGUACCACGGAAGUCGCAAGGUCAAACUCAAAGGAAUUGACGGGGACCGCACAAGAAGCGGUGGAUGAUGUGGAUUAAUUCGAUGCAACGCGAAAACCUUACCUACCUUGACUGUCUAAGAUCCCGAAAGAGAGAUUUGGGGUGCUCGCAAAGGCUGAACGGGACGCUGCAUGGCUACAGCUCGUCAGCUCGUGUCGUGAGAUGUUGGGUUAAGUCCCGCAACGAGCGCAACCCUUGUCAUUAGUUGCUGCGAAAGAGGGCACUCUAAUAAAGAGACUGCGAUGAUAAACCGGAGGAAGGUGAGGAUGACGUCGUACUCGCGGCCAUAUGGGUAGGGCUUCACACGUAUGCAAUGGUCGGGACAGAGGGUCGCCAACCCGCGAGGAGCCAAUCCAGAAACUGGUCAUGGUCGGAUCGCAGUCUGCAGCUCGACUGCGUGAAGUCGGAAUCGCUAGUAAUCGCGGAUCAGCAUGUCGCGGUGAAUACGUUCCCGGGUCUUGUACACACCGCCCGUCACACCAUGGGAGUGGGUUUUGCCAGAAGUAGUUAGCCUAACAGCGGAGGGCGAUUACCACGGUAGGAUUCAUGACUGGGGGUGAAGUCGCUAGAGUAG